Molecule: ribosomal RNA, 233 nt
Filed under: uncultured bacterium
Lineage: Bacteria
Description: partial 16S ribosomal RNA
Rfam family: Bacterial small subunit ribosomal RNA
Source: RNAcentral
UGAGUAACCUGCCCUUGACUCUGGGAUAAGCGUUGGAAACGACGUCUAAUACCGGAUACGAGCUUCCACCGCAUGGUGAGUUGCUGGAAAGAAUUUUGGUCAAGGAUGGACUCGCGGCCUAUCAGCUUGUUGGUGAGGUAAUGGCUCACCAAGGCGACGACGGGUAGCCGGCCCGAGAGGGUGACCGGCCACACUGGGACUGAGAUACGGCCCAGACUCCGUACGGGAGGCAG